UCCUACAACUGUGCCAUUGCCCUUCUGA
RNAcentral lists this non-coding RNA (28 nucleotides) under Rattus norvegicus (Norway rat). The record is from RNAcentral. Lineage: Eukaryota; Metazoa; Chordata; Mammalia; Rodentia; Muridae.